Long non-coding RNA from Pezoporus flaviventris, 1270 nucleotides. RefSeq lists it as uncharacterized. NCBI's taxonomy places the organism in Eukaryota, Metazoa, Chordata, Aves, Psittaciformes, Psittacidae. The transcript is spliced from 3 exons. The record is from RefSeq and is a predicted model, not a curated record.
CAUAAAAUUGUGAAUGUUAUGUCAAGUUAAAAUGCUCUCUUAUUCCAAAUCUGUUGCUUACCAAAGACCAAAAACCAUGCUUUUGCUUCCGCUGAUAUUACUGGACAAACUGUUUGUACAGUCAGUGCUCUGAACCACAUUCUUAGCCUAAAAUGCUUUCUUUGCACACCCCCCCUUUCAAACCUGACAUUUUAUGUAUUGACUUUCGCUGCUUUACAGUUACCUAACUGCUGAGACAGGAAGAAAACAACAUGGACAUACAAAAGGGGAAAGAUUAUUAGAACUUGUCCCUGCCAGUGAGGAGUUACCACACCUACAAAGAAAGGAACAGGAUUAAAAUAAAGUUGAAGGGUGUGUUCCAGGAGCAAAGUGAGGAGCAGAGCUAGAAAUAAGAUGCAUGUUGCUUUGAAAAUACAAAAAUAAAGGGAAUUGAUGAUAUGUAAACAUUUCUGGCCGUUGUUUUCUGCCCCCAAUAUGUUGUCAUGCAAUAGAGAUACUUCCUAGCGGCUGUAUGAGGUAUUUGUACUGUCUAUAAUGCUUUAGAGGUCAGUGCUAGCAGUCAUGGAGUCCUAUUACACAUAAGGAAGUCAGACUUUGAUCUGUUUUCAUAAUGUGCAAGUUACAUUUUUCCACCUGUGGCUCUGACGUGUGUGUCAGAGUAAAUGGCGUUAUUGUUUGACACGGCAACAGACCCCAAUGAUAGAAAUGUAAUGUUCCAAAAUCAAAAUGAGGAAGUCAGUAAACAGUGCUGAGUUUUAAGCUAUGCCAGGGCCCAAUUAUGGUUUUCAAACUGCAUAGGAAUUGAUCGCAGAGGAGAUUCACUCAUUUUGGCGUAGAUCAGAGACUAUACUUUGACUAUGUCCAGUAUCUUUUGCAAAGGUAAAUGUCAAGGGAAGAUCAGGAAAGCACAAGUGAGCUGUUAUAGCAAUUGAGAAAGCUGCCUGUGGCCUUCUGUUCUUUAUCAGCCUGUAGGAAAGAACUUAAAACCUGCUCUUCCCAAAUCUUUAGUUUAAAGACAACAAUAUAAUCCAUAAAAUGGAACACACAAAACCAGUCUACUCUCACCGUGAAAGAGCUUUGUUGUACAUAACUAAUUAACCACACAGUUCAGCCUGGAAGUCAUUUGGACAAAGGCACCCAGGAAAAAACACAUUAAGAGACAGAAUUAUCACAUUACACUUGCCGCUGGAAAAUGGUGACUCACUUGUUUUCCACAUCCUUUUACAAACUAAAGGUCAUCAUUAAAAAAAAAAACCAAAAAAAAAACAAA